GGUUCGCAAAAUCAGUUGUUUCUGUAAAGGAUGAAAAACCUGACUUAACAGCAGCUCAUGUCAACAGAACCUAAUAGAGUCAGUUGGCUAUGAAUUCCACACAAGCUGACAUGGUGAUGUGGCUGGCCCUUUGUAAGGAACACGGCUAUACUGCAGCCAAGCAAGGAUAGGCCGAGGUAAACAUCCUGCGUGACUCAGCCUGUUUGUAGCGCAGGAGUAUAGCUCCACUUGUUGUAUAAUCACAGCCAUGUAGCCAUAACAUGGGAAGGCUCAUCACUUGGCUUGGAGCCACUAUCAUCUGUAAAAGGUAUAAUUGCCCUGCUGACACUGUACAGGCAUGCUUGUGUCCAGAGAAAGAGAGAGAGAAGGCCAGAGCUGUCUGUUUUGUAAAUGGACAUGGGGGAGCCAGGACACAGCUUGGCUUGCUUGUGCCCGUAGGGCAAGAGUUAAGCUGCUAACCCUGAAGAGAGAGCUGGUUGUGCAGCUGUAUGUGGGAGCCACCGGAGCAAGCAGCCAAGACGGAGACAGUGUAAGAGAGAUGCUGAAUAAAACCACAUUUCACCUACUUACGGCCCCCUAAGAGUUCUUCCUAUCCAUCCUCCAUUCAUCCACCCACUCCCUUCGGACCUCAGCAUGGGCUGGAACCUGACCUUAAACUUAACACCCUUCUUCCACUUCUAAUGUCCCCUUGAUGUAUGAGAUAUUGGAGAGGAACCCAUGAAGCUUCCUCUGAUCAGGAUAGAGAAGAACCUGUAAGAAAAGUGCAGCAGCCAAGGAGAGAGGCCAGCUCAGAGAUAUGUUUGUAGGGAAGUCAGGGCUGGCUUGUAGGCUCGAAUGUUGGGGAGCUGCAUGCCGUGUGAUUGGAGGGUGUCUCUAACAAAACACCUGAAAAAAAAAAAAGAGGCAAGGGACAUAAUUCUUAGCUAACAAGGGGGCCUCAGAGAGAGGGAUUUGUUAGGGCUAGGAGAAGAAGGAAGGAUGCACCAAGGAAAUGAUAAAGGAUGAAGCAUUGCAGAAAAGCCAAUUGCUGUAUUAAUUCAUUUCAGUCAUGUGUUUGAGCUCUGAUUUUGUGUAUAGCCCUAUGCUGUGGGAAAUGCUAUGAAACAACAGCCACAGAGUCAACAGCGCUGAUUGGUAUGGCUCAGAUGACCAGUGCUGUUCAGAGGAUGGUGAGGGGUCACCAGGGAAGAAGCCAUGGAGCAGCUGAAGCUUGAGCAGGCCCUUGAUGGAAGGGGCUGGGGAAGAUGUCACUGCAGAGCGUGAGCUGGGGAAGAUGAAGAAAUCAGCUGACUGGAGUCUUCAGAAAUGGGGUGGAAUAGCGUGUGCCCUGUGUUGUUGACUACCCUUGUGUUGUGCUGAUAUUCCAUCACAGAGGUGAGUGCCCAGAGAACAGUAAGGAGGGAAGCCCAGAGGAAAGGCUUUGCGGGGAGAAUCCCCACUGCUUUCUUAUGGGAAAUCAAAUGAAUGAGAUAGGGAUGAGCAGGUAAUAUCUAAA
This 1495-nucleotide long non-coding RNA is filed under the name Pan troglodytes (chimpanzee). RNAcentral's name for it is "long non-coding RNA NONPTRT002857". Lineage: Eukaryota; Metazoa; Chordata; Mammalia; Primates; Hominidae. The record is from RNAcentral.